GACGAACGCUGGCGGCGUGCUUAACACAUGCAAGUCGAACGGAAAGGCCUCUUUCGGGGGGUACUCGAGUGGCGAACGGGUGAGUAACACGUGAGUAACCUGCCCUUGACUUUGGGAUAACUUCAGGAAACUGGGGCUAAUACCGGAUAGGAGCUCCUGCUGCAUGGUGGGGGUUGGAAAGUUUCGGCGGUUGGGGAUGGACUCGCGGCUUAUCAGCUUGUUGGUGGGGGAGUGGCUUACCAAGGCUUUGACGGGUAGCCGGCCUGGGAGGGUGACCGGCCACAUUGGGACUGAGAUACGGCCCAGACUCCUACGGGGGGCAGCAGUGGGGAAUAUUGCACAAUGGGUGGGAGCCUGAUGCAGCAACGCCGUGGGCGGGAUGACGGGCUUCGGGUUGUAAACCGCUUUCGCUCAUGACGAAGCUUUGUGUGACGGUAGUGGGUAAAGAAGCACCGGCUAACUACGUG
RNAcentral lists this ribosomal RNA (467 nucleotides) under uncultured bacterium. RNAcentral's name for it is "partial 16S ribosomal RNA". It matches the Rfam family "Bacterial small subunit ribosomal RNA", at positions 28 to 507 of the family's 1533-position model. The record is from RNAcentral.